GUCGAGCGGACUUGAUGAGAAGCUUGCUUCUCUGAUACUUAGCGGCGGACGGGUGAGUAACACGUAGGCAACCUGCCCUCAAGUUUGGGACAACUACCGGAAACGGUAGCUAAUACCGAAUAAUUGUUUUCUUCGCCUGAAGGAAACUGGAAAGACGGAGCAAUCUGUCACUUGGGGAUGGGCCUGCGGCGCAUUAGCUAGUUGGUGAGGUAACGGCUCACCAAGGCGACGAUGCGUAGCCGACCUGAGAGGGUGAUCGGCCACACUGGGACUGAGACACGGCCCAGACUCCUACGGGAGGCAGCAGUAGGGAAUCUUCCGCAAUGGGCGAAAGCCUGACGGAGCAAUGCCGCGUGAGUGAUGAAGGUUUUCGGAUCGUAAAGCUCUGUUGCCAGGGAAGAACGCUUGGGAGAGUAACUGCUCUCAAGGUGACGGUACCUGAGAAGAAAGCCCCGGCUAACUACGUGCCAGCAGCCGCGGUAAUACGUAGGGGGCAAGCGUUGUCCGGAAUUAUUGGGCGUAAAGCGCGCGCAGGCGGUCAUUUAAGUCUGGUGUUUAAUCCCGGGGCUCAACCCCGGAUCGCACUGGAAACUGGGUGACUUGAGUGCAGAAG
This 613-nucleotide ribosomal RNA is filed under the name Bacillus sp. MYb59. RNAcentral describes it as "bacterial SSU rRNA". It matches the Rfam family "Bacterial small subunit ribosomal RNA", at positions 61 to 654 of the family's 1533-position model. The record is from RNAcentral. Lineage: Bacteria; Bacillati; Bacillota; Bacilli; Caryophanales; Bacillaceae.